CCUACGGGAGGCAGCAGUGGGGAAUAGUGGGCAAUGGACGCAAGUCUGACCCAGCAACGCCGCGUGAAGGAAGCAGGCUCUCGGGUUGUAAACUUCUGUUAAGGGGGAAGAGCAGAAGACGGUACAUCUUGAAUAGGACACGGCUAAAUACGUGCCAGCAGCCGAGGUAAUACGGAGGUGGGAUGCGGUGUCCGGAUUUACUGGGUGUAAAGGGCGGGCAGCCGGAGGUACAAGUCAGAUGUGAAAUACACGGUCUCAACCCGUGCAAGGCCUUUGAAACUGUUUCCCUUGAGUGUCGGAGAGGUAAUCGGAAUUCCUUGUGUAGCGGUGAAAUGCGUAGAUAUAAGGAAGAACACCAGUGGCGAAGGCGGCAUACUGGACGAUAACUGACGGUGAGGCGCGAAAGCGUGGGGAGCAAACAGGAUUAGAUACCCUAGUAGUC
RNAcentral lists this ribosomal RNA (442 nucleotides) under uncultured bacterium. RNAcentral describes it as "partial 16S ribosomal RNA". It matches the Rfam family "Bacterial small subunit ribosomal RNA", at positions 338 to 795 of the family's 1533-position model. The record is from RNAcentral.